Molecule: ribosomal RNA, 277 nt
Filed under: uncultured bacterium
Lineage: Bacteria
Description: partial 16S ribosomal RNA
Rfam family: Bacterial small subunit ribosomal RNA
Source: RNAcentral
GACAAACGCUGGCGGCGUGCGUAACACAUGCAAGUCGAACGAGCAUGGAGACAUGCGAGUGGCGGACGGGUGAGGAACACGUGGAUGACCGACCCUGGACUGGGGAAUACCCGGACGAAAGUUCGGUUAAUACCGCAUGAACUGGAGACAGCAAAGCGCUUCGGCGCGGUCGAGGACGGGUCUGCGGACGAUUAGCUAGUUGGUGGGGUAACGGCUCACCAAGGCGAUGAUCGUUAGCUGGUCUGAGAGGAUGAUCAGCCACACUGGGAUUGAGAAC